RNAcentral lists this ribosomal RNA (120 nucleotides) under uncultured bacterium. RNAcentral's name for it is "partial 16S ribosomal RNA". It matches the Rfam family "Bacterial small subunit ribosomal RNA", at positions 215 to 334 of the family's 1533-position model. The record is from RNAcentral.
CCGGUCGGGGAUGGGCCCGCGGCCUAUCAGCUUGUUGGUGGGGUAACGGCCUACCAAGGCGACGACGGGUAGCUGGUCUGAGAGGACGACCAGCCACACUGGGACUGAGACACGGCCCAG